Molecule: ribosomal RNA, 778 nt
Filed under: uncultured Neocallimastigales
Lineage: Eukaryota; Fungi; Neocallimastigomycota; Neocallimastigomycetes; Neocallimastigales
Description: partial large subunit ribosomal RNA
Rfam family: Eukaryotic large subunit ribosomal RNA
Source: RNAcentral
UAUCUCUGUAGAGUCUGCAUAUCAAUAAGCGGAGGAAAAGAAACUAACAAGGAUUCCCUUAGUAACGGCGAGUGAAGCGGGAAGAGCUCAAAUUUGAAAUCUUCAAGGUUUUACCUUGACGAAUUGUAGUUUAAAGAAGUGUUUUUCUGUUGGAGUUUUGGUAAAAGUUCUUUGGAAUAGGACAUCAUAGAGGGUGAGAAUCCCGUAUUUGACCAUUAUUUCCAACUUUGUGAUACACUUUCAAAGAGUCGGAUUGUUUAGGAAUGCAGUCCAAAAUGGGUGGUAAAUUUCAUCUAAAGCUAAAUACUGGCGAGAGACCGAUAGCGAACAAGUACCGUGAGGGAAAGAUGAAAAGAACUUUGGAAAGAGAGUUAAACAGUACGUGAAAUUGUCAAAAGGGAAGCGUUUGACACCAGUGUUGUUUUCUCGAAAAUCAAUUAAAAAUGGCGGGAUUUUGUGUUGUAUUGACUUUAUCAGCUUUCUGCACUUUUUUUCUUGUCUUUUUUUAAUGCACUUUUCGUUUAACAAGUCAACAUCAAUUUCUUUUGUUGUAAAAGGGUCAUUGGAAGGUGGCUUUCUUUUCGGAGAAAGUGUUUAUAGCCUUUGACUUCUGCAAUCGGAGAGAUUGAGGUCUGCAGCGUAGAUCCUUCGGGGUUAGAUGCAUUUGUGCUAAGUUAUAGCCUUUCAUAGACAACUUGUUGACUAUGAUCAGUCAUGUAGCUUACUCGCUUAUGUCUAUUUUACCUACGCUUAGGAUGUUGAUCUCUCACAGUCGAGC